CUGCAGCUCAAGUGGUGACCACUAUUAUUGGGCCUAAAACGUUCGUAGCCGGUUUAGUAAAUGUCUGGGUAAAUCGAGCCGCUUAACGGUUCGAAUUCCGGGUAGACUGCUAAACUUGAGACCGGGAGAGGCUAGAGGUACUCCUGGGGUAGAGGUGAAAUUCUGUAAUCCUGGGGGGACCACCAGUGGCGAAGGCGUCUAGCUAGAACGGGUCUGACGGUGAGGGACGAAGCCCUGGGGCGCAAACCGGAUUAGAUACCCGAGUAGUCC
Molecule: ribosomal RNA, 270 nt
Filed under: uncultured archaeon
Lineage: Archaea
Description: partial 16S ribosomal RNA
Rfam family: Archaeal small subunit ribosomal RNA
Source: RNAcentral